Molecule: ribosomal RNA, 255 nt
Filed under: uncultured bacterium
Lineage: Bacteria
Description: partial 16S ribosomal RNA
Rfam family: Bacterial small subunit ribosomal RNA
Source: RNAcentral
UACGUAGGGUGCGAGCGUUUGUCCGGAAUUACUGGGCGUAAAGAGCUCGUAGGUGGUUUGUCGCGUUGUUCGUGAAAACUCACAGCUUAACUGUGGGCGUGCGGGCGAUACGGGCAGACUGGAGUACUGCAGGGGAGACUGGAAUUCCUGGUGUAGCGGUGGAAUGCGCAGAUAUCAGGAGGAACACCGGUGGCGAAGGCGGGUCUCUGGGCAGUAACUGACGCUGAGGAGCGAAAGCGUGGGGGAGCGAACAGG